GGGCGUAAAGGGCACGCAGGUGGUCCUCCCAGUCAGAUGUGAAAGCAGGGGCUCAACCCCGGAAGUGCAUUUGAAACUAGGGGACUUGAGUAUGGUAGAGGAGAGGGGAAUUCCUGGUGUAGAGGUGAAAUUCGUAGAUAUCAGGAGGAACAUCGGUGGCGAAGGCGCCUCUCUGGACCAAAACUGACGCUGAGGUGCGAAGGGGUGGGUAGCGAACAGGAUUAGAUACCCUGGUAGUCCACGCAGUAAACGUUGUAUACUAGGUGUAGCGGGUAUUGA
RNAcentral lists this ribosomal RNA (279 nucleotides) under uncultured delta proteobacterium. RNAcentral describes it as "partial 16S ribosomal RNA". It matches the Rfam family "Bacterial small subunit ribosomal RNA", at positions 556 to 835 of the family's 1533-position model. Lineage: Bacteria; Deltaproteobacteria. The record is from RNAcentral.